GGGGAUAUAGCUCAGUUGGUAGAGCGUCUCAAUGGCAUUGAGAAGGUCAGGGGUUCGACUCCCCUUAUCUCCACCA
Molecule: transfer RNA, 76 nt
Filed under: bacterium
Lineage: Bacteria
Also listed under: 5 other names
Description: tRNA-Ala
Rfam family: tRNA
About the family: Transfer RNA (tRNA) molecules are approximately 80 nucleotides in length. Their secondary structure includes four short double-helical elements and three loops (D, anti-codon, and T loops). Further hydrogen bonds mediate the characteristic L-shaped molecular structure. tRNAs have two regions of fundamental functional importance: the anti-codon, which is responsible for specific mRNA codon recognition, and the 3' end, to which the tRNAs corresponding amino acid is attached (by aminoacyl-tRNA synthetases). tRNAs cope with the degeneracy of the genetic code in two manners: having more than one tRNA (with a specific anti-codon) for a particular amino acid; and 'wobble' base-pairing, i.e. permitting non-standard base-pairing at the 3rd anti-codon position.
Source: RNAcentral